AGAGUUUGAUCAUGGCUCAGAUUGAACGCUGGCGGAAUGCUUUACACAUGCAAGUCGAACGGCAGCACGGGGGCAACCCUGGUGGCGAGUGGCGAACGGGUGAGUAAUACAUCGGAACGUGCCCAGUCGUGGGGGGAUAACGUAGCGAAAGCUACGCUAAUACCGCAUACGAACUGAGGUUGAAAGCGGGGGAUCGCAAGACCUCGCGCGAUUGGAGCGGCCGAUGGCAGAUUAGGUAGUUGGUGGGGUAAAGGCCUACCAAGCCGACGAUCUGUAGCUGGUCUGAGAGGACGACCAGCCACACUGGGACUGAGACACGGCCCAGACUCCUACGGGAGGCAGCAGUGGGGAAUUUUGGACAAUGGGCGCAAGCCUGAUCCAGCCAUUCCGCGUGCAGGAUGAAGGCCCUCGGGUUGUAAACUGCUUUUGGACGGAACGAAAAGGCCUUUUCUAAUACAGGGGGCUCAUGACGGUACCGUCAGAAUAAGCACCGGCUAACUACGUGCCAGCAGCCGCGGUAAUACGUAGGGUGCAAGCGUUAAUCGGAAUUACUGGGCGUAAAGCGUGCGCAGGCGGUUGUGCAAGACCGAUGUGAAAUCCCCGGGCUUAACCUGGGAAUGGCAUUGGUGACUGCACGGCUAGAGUGUGUCAGAGGGGGGUAGAAUUCCACGUGUAGCAGUGAAAUGCGUAGAGAUGUGGAGGAAUACCGAUGGCGAAGGCAGCCCCCUGGGAUAACACUGACGCUCAUGCACGAAAGCGUGGGGAGCAAACAGGAUUAGAUACCCUAGUAGUCC
This 794-nucleotide ribosomal RNA is filed under the name uncultured bacterium. RNAcentral describes it as "bacterial SSU rRNA". It matches the Rfam family "Bacterial small subunit ribosomal RNA", at positions 8 to 796 of the family's 1533-position model. The record is from RNAcentral.